AAGUCGUAACAAGGUUUCCGUAGGUGAACCUGCGGAAGGAUCAUUAACACGUAUCCAAACGUUAAAACAACCCUGUGAAUAUUAACGCGUGUUCUUGCUUGACACCAAAACAGCAAUCUCUCGUAAAACAGGCGCUAAAGAAUUACAGAUAUUGAUUUGAGAGAAUUCUGUCAGUCGGUGGACGUUGCAAUUGAUCUAUCACCAAUGUCUGAAAGUGUCAAGUGAUGGUCAGGGUAACGCAGUCAACGAUCGCUGUAGGUCCUCACGACCGGCGACCGGGGUGGAGGCUAACCGCCCUUACGUCACCCCUAUGUACCCUCCGGGACUUGGCGAAAGCUGACUCCGUCAUAAAUCGAACAACUGUUAACAAUGGAUAUCUUGGUUCUC
Molecule: unclassified non-coding RNA, 387 nt
Filed under: fungal sp.
Lineage: Eukaryota; Fungi
Description: partial internal transcribed spacer region
Rfam family: Eukaryotic small subunit ribosomal RNA (bases 1-46)
Source: RNAcentral